Molecule: non-coding RNA, 509 nt
Filed under: Pongo abelii (Sumatran orangutan)
Lineage: Eukaryota; Metazoa; Chordata; Mammalia; Primates; Hominidae
Source: RNAcentral
GGCGGCCGCGGCUCCGCCCCGGGUUCCCACCUCCUGAAGGGCGAGAGACAAGCCCGACCUGCUACGGAUGUGGAAACAGCAAGAGAACUAGAAUUGGAAGUAAAGCGUUGAAGAUGUGACUGAAUUGCUGCAAUCUCAUGAUCAAAUUUGAAUGGAUGAGGAGUUGCUUCUUAGGGAUAAGCUAAGAAAGUGGUUUCUUGAGAUGGAAUCUACUGGUGAAGUUGCUAUGAACAUUGUUAAAAUGACAAAGAUUUAGGAAUUACAGAAACCUGGUUGAUAAAGCAGUGCAAGGGUGUGAGAGAGUUGACUUCAAUUUUGAAAUAAGUUCCACUGGCUGAGUGUGGUGGCUCACACCUGCAAUCCCAGUACUUUGAGAGGCCGAGGCUGAUAGAUCACUUGAGGUCAGGAGUUCAAGACCAGCCUGGCCAACAUGGUGAAACCCCACCUCUACCAAAUUAGCCAGAUGUGGUACACACCUGUAGUCCCAGCUACUUGGGAAGCUGAGGCAG